GAUGGACGCUGGCGGUAUGCCUAACACAUGCAAGUUGAACGAAGGUUUUUCCUUAGUAGCGGACGGGUGAGUAAUACGUGAGAAUCUACCUUUNGGAGGGGAAUAACAGUUGGAAACGACUGCUAAUGCCCCAUAUGCUGUAAAGUGAAACGAUUUAUCGCCUAAAGAUGAGCUCGCGCCUGAUUAGCUUGUUGGUAGGGUAAUAGCCUACCAAGGCGACGAUCAGUAGCUGAUUUGAGAGGAUGAUCAGCCACACUGGAACUGAGACACGGUCCAGACUUCUACGGAAGGCAGCAGUGGGGAAUUUUCCGCAAUGGGCGAAAGCCUGACGGAGCAAUACCGCGUGAGGGAUGAAUGCCUAUGGGUUGUAAACCUCUUUUAUUAGGGAAGAAUUCUGACGGUACCUAAUGAAUAAGCAUCGGCUAACUCCGUGCCAGCAGCCGCGGUAAUACGGGGGAUGCAAGCGUUAUUCGGAAUUAUUGGGCGU
RNAcentral lists this ribosomal RNA (487 nucleotides) under uncultured eukaryote. RNAcentral describes it as "bacterial SSU rRNA". It matches the Rfam family "Bacterial small subunit ribosomal RNA", at positions 28 to 561 of the family's 1533-position model. The record is from RNAcentral.